Molecule: transfer RNA, 68 nt
Filed under: Lepas anatifera
Lineage: Eukaryota; Metazoa; Arthropoda; Thecostraca; Lepadidae
Description: tRNA-Leu
Rfam family: tRNA
About the family: Transfer RNA (tRNA) molecules are approximately 80 nucleotides in length.
Source: RNAcentral
AUAAAUUUGGCAGAGCAAUGUGGCAGACUUAGAAUCUGAAGAUGAAGAUUAAACUUCUUCAAUUUAUA